AACGAACGCUGGCGGCAUGCCUAACACAUGCAAGUCGAACGAGACCUUCGGGUCUAGUGGCGCACGGGUGCGUAACGCGUGGGAACCUGCCCUUAGGUUCGGAAUAACUCCCCGAAGGGUGUCCUAAUACCGGUUAAUGUCUUCGGACCAAAGAUUUAUCGCCUUUGGAUGGGCGCGCGUUAGAUUAGCUAGUUGGUAGGGUAAAAGCCUACCAAGGCGACGAUGCAUAGCUGGUCUGAUAGGAUGAUAAGCUACACUGGGAAUGCGACACGGCCCAGACCCGUACGGAAGGGAGCAGUGGGGAAUAUUAGACGAUGAGCGCUGGUCUAGUCACGCCAUGUCGCGUGAGUGAUGAAGGCGUUAGGAUUGUAAAGCCCUUUUACACGGGAUGUUAAUGACAGUAACGGGUGAAUAAGCACCGGCUAACUACGUG
This 433-nucleotide ribosomal RNA is filed under the name uncultured bacterium. RNAcentral describes it as "partial 16S ribosomal RNA". It matches the Rfam family "Bacterial small subunit ribosomal RNA", at positions 29 to 507 of the family's 1533-position model. The record is from RNAcentral.